GAUGAACGCUGGCGGCGUGCCUAAUACAUGCAAGUCGAGCGAACAGACGAGGAGCUUGCUCCUCUGAUGUUAGCGGCGGACGGGUGAGUAACACGUGGAUAACCUACCUAUAAGACUGGGAUAACUUCGGGAAACCGGAGCUAAUACCGGAUAACAUGUUGAACCGCAUGGUUCAACAGUGAAAGACGGUCUUGCUGUCACUUAUAGAUGGAUCCGCGCCGCAUUAGCUAGUUGGUAAGGUAACGGCUUACCAAGGCAACGAUGCGUAGCCGACCUGAGAGGGUGAUCGGCCACACUAGAACUGAGACACGGUCCAGACUCCUACGGGAGGCAGCAGUAGGGAAUCUUCCGCAAUGGGCGAAAGCCUGACGGAGCAACGCCGCGUGAGUGAAGAAGGUCUUCGGAUCGUAAAACUCUGUUAUUAGGGAAGAACAAAUGUGUAAGUAACUAUGCACGUCUUGACGGUACCUAAUCAGAAAGCCACGGCUAACUACGUG
This 497-nucleotide ribosomal RNA is filed under the name uncultured bacterium. Its description in RNAcentral is "partial 16S ribosomal RNA". It matches the Rfam family "Bacterial small subunit ribosomal RNA", at positions 28 to 507 of the family's 1533-position model. The record is from RNAcentral.